GAUGAAGAACGCAGCGAAAUGCGAUACUUGGUGUGAAUUGCAGAAUCCCGUGAACCAUCGAGUCUUUGAACGCAAGUUGCGCCCGAAGCCAUUAGGCCGAGGGCACGUCUGCCUGGGCGUCACACAACGUUGCCCCCCCAGACCUCGACUUCCAAGAGGACGGGGGGCGGAUGCUGGCCUCCCGUGUGCCACGGCUCGCGGUUGGCCUAAAUGCGAGUACUCGGCGACGAGCGCCGCGGCAAUCGGUGGUUGUCUAACCCUCGGUGCCAUGCUGCGCGCGCGAUUCGCUCACUGUUACUCGACGACCCCAAUGCGUCGUAGCCACGACCCUCACAACGCGACCCCAGGUCAGGCGGGGCUACCCGCUGAGUUUAAGCAUAUCAAUAAGCGGAGGA
RNAcentral lists this unclassified non-coding RNA (395 nucleotides) under soil metagenome. RNAcentral's name for it is "partial contains 5.8S ribosomal RNA, internal transcribed spacer 2, and large subunit ribosomal RNA". The stretch from base 1 to 122 matches the Rfam family "5.8S ribosomal RNA", at positions 35 to 154 of the family's 154-position model. The record is from RNAcentral.